RNAcentral lists this ribosomal RNA (482 nucleotides) under uncultured bacterium. Its description in RNAcentral is "bacterial SSU rRNA". It matches the Rfam family "Bacterial small subunit ribosomal RNA", at positions 30 to 506 of the family's 1533-position model. The record is from RNAcentral.
UUGAACGCUGGCGGCAUGCCUUACACAUGCAAGUCGAACGGCAGCACGGGAGCAAUCCUGGUGGCGAGUGGCGAACGGGUGAGUAAUAUAUCGGAACGUGCCCAGUAAUGGGGGAUAGCCCGGCGAAAGCCGGAUUAAUACCGCAUACGACCUACGGGUGAAAGCGGGGGAUCGCAAGACCUCGUGUUAUUGGAGCGGCCGCUCUCAGAUUAGCUUGUUGGCGGGGUAAAAGCCCACCAAGGCGACGAUCUGUAGCUGGUCUGAGAGGACGACCAGCCACACUGGGACUGAGACACGGCCCAGACGCCUACGGGAGGCAGCAGUGGGGAAUUUUGGACAAUGGGCGCAAGCCUGAUCCAGCCAUGCCGCGUGUGGGAAGAAGGCCUUCGGGUUGUAAACCACUUUUGUCAGGGAAGAAACGGCUCUUACUAAGAUUAAGAGCUAAUGACGGUACCUGAAGAAUAAGCACCGGCUAACUACGU